CAUAGGCUCUGGUGGAUCAGGUGGUGAUGGUGGAUCCGGUGGAGACGGUGGAUCAGGCGGAGACGGCGGCUCUGGUGGAUCAGGUGGUGAUGGUGGAUCCGGUGGAGACGGUGGAUCAGGCGGAGACGGCGGCUCUGGUGGAUCAGGUGGUGAUGGUGGAUCCGGUGGAGACGGUGGAUCAGGCGGAGACGGCGGCUCUGGUUUAGGAUGUCAUGAUGGAAAUGAUUCAGACGAUAAUGACAAUGGAGGCAAAGGUGGAAAAGGACACGAUUCUGAUUUCUUCGGUCAUCUUUUCGGCGGUAAACAUCAUAAAUCUUCGAAGAAAUGUGAUCCAAGAACAGAACUUCCAUACUGCCCCUGUGAAAAGAAGGCUCCAUGCAUCUGCAACUGCAUAUGUGAAUAAUAAGUUUUAGUUUUUGUCCUAUUUAGUUUAAGUAAUCGAUAGGGAAAUGAUUUAUGAUCGGCUAUUCUGUGUAAUUUUCAAAGUGUUAUUAAUAAAGGCACCGCAAUGAAUUUGCAAAA
Sitodiplosis mosellana (orange wheat blossom midge) is the source of this 522-nucleotide long non-coding RNA. RefSeq lists it as uncharacterized. Lineage: Eukaryota; Metazoa; Arthropoda; Insecta; Diptera; Cecidomyiidae. The record is from RefSeq and is a predicted model, not a curated record. The transcript has 5 exons.